RNAcentral lists this transfer RNA (72 nucleotides) under Sus scrofa (pig). It matches the Rfam family "tRNA". From Rfam's summary of the family: Transfer RNA (tRNA) molecules are approximately 80 nucleotides in length. Their secondary structure includes four short double-helical elements and three loops (D, anti-codon, and T loops). The record is from Rfam by way of RNAcentral. Lineage: Eukaryota; Metazoa; Chordata; Mammalia; Artiodactyla; Suidae.
CCCCUGGUGGUCUAGUGGUUAGGAUUUGGCACUUUCAUGGCUGCAGCCCAGGUUCAAUCCCUGGUCUGGGAA